CAGUCGCCGCGGUAAUACGUAGGGUGCAAGCGUUAAUCGGAAUUACUGGGCGUAAAGCGUGCGCAGGCGGUUUGUUAAGACAGAUGUGAAAUCCCCGGUCUCAACCUGGGAACUGCAUUUGUGACUGGCAAGCUAGAGUCUGGCAGAGGGGGGUGGAAUUCCGCGUGUAGCAGUGAAAUGCGUAGAUAUGCGGAGGAACACCGAUGGCGAAGGCAGCCCCCUGGGCCAACACUGACGCUCAUGCACGAAAGCGUGGGGAGCAAACAGGAUUAGAUACCCGCGUAGUCCCUGUCUCUUAUAC
RNAcentral lists this ribosomal RNA (301 nucleotides) under uncultured bacterium. Its description in RNAcentral is "partial 16S ribosomal RNA". It matches the Rfam family "Bacterial small subunit ribosomal RNA", at positions 509 to 807 of the family's 1533-position model. The record is from RNAcentral.